AAGUAGAGGCCGGAAGCAGUGGUUUUUAGCGGCUCUCUGGGUAGCAGGGUGGUGUGAUAGCGGCAGCGAGGGGCUCGCAGAGGUGCUCGGAUUCUCGUAGCUGUGCCGGGACUUAACCACCACCAUGUCGAGCAAAAGAACAAAGACCAAGACCAAGAAGCGCCCUCAGCGUGCAACAUCCAAUGUGUUUGCUAUGUUUGACCAGUCACAGAUUCAGGAGUUCAAAGAGGCCUUCAACAUGAUUGAUCAGAACAGAGAUGGUUUCAUCGACAAGGAAGAUUUGCAUGAUAUGCUUGCUUCAUUGGGUAAUGCUCAGUUUAAAUAUUAAUCUAUUGGAUAGAAUUUCCAUGGUGCCUUUCAUCUUGAUUUCAUGAGUCUUAAAGCUCUGUAAAGCCUGUCUAAUGAGUCUACUAAGGUUUGAGUAAAGUGUGGAACAGUGUUUCCCACCGGAUCACCAGCAGAUUCGUGACCCUGUCUUAGGAUUGGGUUGGGGUUCGUGUGUGUGUGUGUGUGUGUGUAUAAAAACACUGAUCUUGAUUAUGGAAGCAGUAUUAUUCCUUCUGACGUUC
This 569-nucleotide small RNA is filed under the name Pan troglodytes (chimpanzee). RNAcentral describes it as "retained intron". The record is from RNAcentral. Lineage: Eukaryota; Metazoa; Chordata; Mammalia; Primates; Hominidae.